RNAcentral lists this ribosomal RNA (2565 nucleotides) under Escherichia coli. RNAcentral's name for it is "bacterial LSU rRNA". It matches the Rfam family "Bacterial large subunit ribosomal RNA", at positions 398 to 2925 of the family's 2925-position model. The record is from RNAcentral. Lineage: Bacteria; Pseudomonadati; Pseudomonadota; Gammaproteobacteria; Enterobacterales; Enterobacteriaceae.
UGUGAGCUCGAUGAGUAGGGCGGGACACGUGGUAUCCUGUCUGAAUAUGGGGGGACCAUCCUCCAAGGCUAAAUACUCCUGACUGACCGAUAGUGAACCAGUACCGUGAGGGAAAGGCGAAAAGAACCCCGGCGAGGGGAGUGAAAAAGAACCUGAAACCGUGUACGUACAAGCAGUGGGAGCACGCUUAGGCGUGUGACUGCGUACCUUUUGUAUAAUGGGUCAGCGACUUAUAUUCUGUAGCAAGGUUAACCGAAUAGGGGAGCCGAAGGGAAACCGAGUCUUAACUGGGCGUUAAGUUGCAGGGUAUAGACCCGAAACCCGGUGAUCUAGCCAUGGGCAGGUUGAAGGUUGGGUAACACUAACUGGAGGACCGAACCGACUAAUGUUGAAAAAUUAGCGGAUGACUUGUGGCUGGGGGUGAAAGGCCAAUCAAACCGGGAGAUAGCUGGUUCUCCCCGAAAGCUAUUUAGGUAGCGCCUCGUGAAUUCAUCUCCGGGGGUAGAGCACUGUUUCGGCAAGGGGGUCAUCCCGACUUACCAACCCGAUGCAAACUGCGAAUACCGGAGAAUGUUAUCACGGGAGACACACGGCGGGUGCUAACGUCCGUCGUGAAGAGGGAAACAACCCAGACCGCCAGCUAAGGUCCCAAAGUCAUGGUUAAGUGGGAAACGAUGUGGGAAGGCCCAGACAGCCAGGAUGUUGGCUUAGAAGCAGCCAUCAUUUAAAGAAAGCGUAAUAGCUCACUGGUCGAGUCGGCCUGCGCGGAAGAUGUAACGGGGCUAAACCAUGCACCGAAGCUGCGGCAGCGACGCUUAUGCGUUGUUGGGUAGGGGAGCGUUCUGUAAGCCUGCGAAGGUGUGCUGUGAGGCAUGCUGGAGGUAUCAGAAGUGCGAAUGCUGACAUAAGUAACGAUAAAGCGGGUGAAAAGCCCGCUCGCCGGAAGACCAAGGGUUCCUGUCCAACGUUAAUCGGGGCAGGGUGAGUCGACCCCUAAGGCGAGGCCGAAAGGCGUAGUCGAUGGGAAACAGGUUAAUAUUCCUGUACUUGGUGUUACUGCGAAGGGGGGACGGAGAAGGCUAUGUUGGCCGGGCGACGGUUGUCCCGGUUUAAGCGUGUAGGCUGGUUUUCCAGGCAAAUCCGGAAAAUCAAGGCUGAGGCGUGAUGACGAGGCACUACGGUGCUGAAGCAACAAAUGCCCUGCUUCCAGGAAAAGCCUCUAAGCAUCAGGUAACAUCAAAUCGUACCCCAAACCGACACAGGUGGUCAGGUAGAGAAUACCAAGGCGCUUGAGAGAACUCGGGUGAAGGAACUAGGCAAAAUGGUGCCGUAACUUCGGGAGAAGGCACGCUGAUAUGUAGGUGAAGUCCCUCGCGGAUGGAGCUGAAAUCAGUCGAAGAUACCAGCUGGCUGCAACUGUUUAUUAAAAACACAGCACUGUGCAAACACGAAAGUGGACGUAUACGGUGUGACGCCUGCCCGGUGCCGGAAGGUUAAUUGAUGGGGUCAGCGCAAGCGAAGCUCUUGAUCGAAGCCCCGGUAAACGGCGGCCGUAACUAUAACGGUCCUAAGGUAGCGAAAUUCCUUGUCGGGUAAGUUCCGACCUGCACGAAUGGCGUAAUGAUGGCCAGGCUGUCUCCACCCGAGACUCAGUGAAAUUGAACUCGCUGUGAAGAUGCAGUGUACCCGCGGCAAGACGGAAAGACCCCGUGAACCUUUACUAUAGCUUGACACUGAACAUUGAGCCUUGAUGUGUAGGAUAGGUGGGAGGCUUUGAAGUGUGGACGCCAGUCUGCAUGGAGCCGACCUUGAAAUACCACCCUUUAAUGUUUGAUGUUCUAACGUUGACCCGUAAUCCGGGUUGCGGACAGUGUCUGGUGGGUAGUUUGACUGGGGCGGUCUCCUCCUAAAGAGUAACGGAGGAGCACGAAGGUUGGCUAAUCCUGGUCGGACAUCAGGAGGUUAGUGCAAUGGCAUAAGCCAGCUUGACUGCGAGCGUGACGGCGCGAGCAGGUGCGAAAGCAGGUCAUAGUGAUCCGGUGGUUCUGAAUGGAAGGGCCAUCGCUCAACGGAUAAAAGGUACUCCGGGGAUAACAGGCUGAUACCGCCCAAGAGUUCAUAUCGACGGCGGUGUUUGGCACCUCGAUGUCGGCUCAUCACAUCCUGGGGCUGAAGUAGGUCCCAAGGGUAUGGCUGUUCGCCAUUUAAAGUGGUACGCGAGCUGGGUUUAGAACGUCGUGAGACAGUUCGGUCCCUAUCUGCCGUGGGCGCUGGAGAACUGAGGGGGGCUGCUCCUAGUACGAGAGGACCGGAGUGGACGCAUCACUGGUGUUCGGGUUGUCAUGCCAAUGGCACUGCCCGGUAGCUAAAUGCGGAAGAGAUAAGUGCUGAAAGCAUCUAAGCACGAAACUUGCCCCGAGAUGAGUUCUCCCUGACUCCUUGAGAGUCCUGAAGGAACGUUGAAGACGACGACGUUGAUAGGCCGGGUGUGUAAGCGCAGCGAUGCGUUGAGCUAACCGGUACUAAUGAACCGUGAGGCUUAACCUUACAACGCCGAAGGUGUUU